This 114-nucleotide ribosomal RNA is filed under the name Pteropus alecto (black flying fox). The record is from RNAcentral. Lineage: Eukaryota; Metazoa; Chordata; Mammalia; Chiroptera; Pteropodidae.
GUCUACAGACAUGCCACCCUGAACAAGCCCGAUCCCGUCUGAUCUCAGAAGCUAAGCAGUGUCAGGUUAGUACUUGGAUGAGAGACCACCUAGGAAGAUCAGGUGCUGUAGGCG